This is a long non-coding RNA of Homo sapiens (human), 179 nucleotides long. NCBI's taxonomy places the organism in Eukaryota, Metazoa, Chordata, Mammalia, Primates, Hominidae. The record is from Ensembl.
UGGGAAGGGGGAGCAAAUCAAAGCUAUCACUCGUCCACACCGACAGAUACCACCUGCCAUCUCCCAUUUUCUCCUCCCCCAACCUCCCCAGCAUCCCUGAUCACUUCAAGGGCUGCUGAGCCCUGGGAAGAUUUUCCACGGAAGAACUUGUUUAAUAAAUGGGAAACUGACCUUUGCUA